Molecule: ribosomal RNA, 699 nt
Filed under: Stenotrophomonas maltophilia
Lineage: Bacteria; Pseudomonadati; Pseudomonadota; Gammaproteobacteria; Lysobacterales; Lysobacteraceae
Description: partial 16S rRNA
Source: RNAcentral
GGUCCAGGUAGCUGCCUUCGCCAUGGGAUGUUCCUCCUGAUCUCUACGCAUUUCACUGCUACACCAGGAAUUCCGCUACCCUCUACCACACUCUAGUCGCCCAGUAUCCACUGCAGUUCCCAGGUUGAGCCCAGGGCUUUCACAACGGACUUAAACGACCACCUACGCACGCUUUACGCCCAGUAAUUCCGAGUAACGCUUGCACCCUUCGUAUUACCGCGGCUGCUGGCACGAAGUUAGCCGGUGCUUAUUCUUUGGGUACCGUCAUCCCAACCGGGUAUUAGCCAGCUGGAUUUCUUUCCCAACAAAAGGGCUUUACAACCCGAAGGCCUUCUUCACCCACGCGGUAUGGCUGGAUCAGGCUUGCGCCCAUUGUCCAAUAUUCCCCACUGCUGCCUCCCGUAGGAGUCUGGACCGUGUCUCAGUUCCAGUGUGGCUGAUCAUCCUCUCAGACCAGCUACGGAUCGUCGCCUUGGUGGGCCUUUACCCCGCCAACUAGCUAAUCCGACAUCGGCUCAUUCAAUCGCGCAAGGUCCGAAGAUCCCCUGCUUUCACCCGUAGGUCGUAUGCGGUAUUAGCGUAAGUUUCCCUACGUUAUCCCCCACGACAGAGUAGAUUCCGAUGUAUUCCUCACCCGUCCGCCACUCGCCACCCAGAGAGCAAGCUCUCCUGUGCUGCCGUUCGACUUGCAUGUGUUAG